Molecule: ribosomal RNA, 441 nt
Filed under: Campylobacter concisus
Lineage: Bacteria; Pseudomonadati; Campylobacterota; Epsilonproteobacteria; Campylobacterales; Campylobacteraceae
Description: bacterial SSU rRNA
Rfam family: Bacterial small subunit ribosomal RNA
Source: RNAcentral
AGUGAACGCUGGCGGCGUGCCUAAUACAUGCAAGUCGAACGGACGAGUAAGAGCUUGCUCUUAUGAGUUAGUGGCGCACGGGUGAGUAAUGUAUAGCUAAUCUGCCCUACACUAGAGGACAACAGUUGGAAACGACUGCUAAUACUCUAUACACCUCUCCAGCAUAAGUUAGAUAGGGAAAGUUUUUCGGUGUAGGAUGAGGCUAUAUUGUAUCAGCUAGUUGGUGGGGUAAUGGCUCACCAAGGCUAUGACGCAUAACUGGUCUGAGAGGAUGAUCAGUCACACUGGAACUGAGACACGGUCCAGACUCCUACGGGAGGCAGCAGUAGGGAAUAUUGCUCAAUGGGGGAAACCCUGAAGCAGCAACGCCGCGUGGAGGAUGACACUUUUCGGAGCGUAAACUCCUUUUGUUAGGGAAGAACAAUGACGUACCUAACGAAU